RNAcentral lists this ribosomal RNA (508 nucleotides) under uncultured Actinomycetes bacterium. RNAcentral's name for it is "bacterial SSU rRNA". It matches the Rfam family "Bacterial small subunit ribosomal RNA", at positions 355 to 871 of the family's 1533-position model. Lineage: Bacteria; Bacillati; Actinomycetota; Actinomycetes. The record is from RNAcentral.
UGGGGAAUAUUGCACAAUGGGCGCAAGCCUGAUGCGGCAACGCCGCGUGAGGGACGACGGCCUUCGGGUUGUAAACCUCUUUUAGCAGGGAAGAAGCGAAAGUGACGGUACCUGCAGAAAAAGCACCGGCUAACUACGUGCCAGCAGCCGCGGUAAUACGUAGGGUGCAAGCGUUAUCCGGAAUUAUUGGGCGUAAAGAGCUCGUAGGCGGUUUGUCGCGUCUGCUGUGAAAACCCGAGGCUCAACCUCGGGCCUGCAGUGGGUACGGGCAGACUAGAGUGCGGUAGGGGGAGAUUGGAAUUCCUGGUGUAGCGGUGGAAUGCGCAGAUAUCAGGAGGAACACCGAUGGGCGAAGGCAGAUCUCUGGGCCGUAACUGACGCUGAGGAGCGAAAGGGUGGGGAGCAAACAGGCUUAGAUACCCUGGUAGUCCACCCCGUAAACGUUGGGAACUAGUUGUGGGGUCCAUUCCACGGAUUCCGUGACGCAGCUAACGCAUUAAGUUCCCCG